This 433-nucleotide ribosomal RNA is filed under the name uncultured bacterium. Its description in RNAcentral is "bacterial SSU rRNA". It matches the Rfam family "Bacterial small subunit ribosomal RNA", at positions 8 to 488 of the family's 1533-position model. The record is from RNAcentral.
AGAGUUUGAUCCUGGCUCAGAACGAACGCUGGCGGCAGGCCUAACACAUGCAAGUCGAACGAACUCUUCGGAGUUAGUGGCGGACGGGUGAGUAACACGUGGGAACGUGCCUUUAGGUUCGGAAUAACUCAGGGAAACUUGUGCUAAUACCGAAUGUGCCCUUCGGGGGAAAGAUUUAUCGCCUUUAGAGCGGCCCGCGUCUGAUUAGCUUGUUGGUGGGGUAAUGGCCCACCAAGGCUACGAUCAGUAGCUGGUCUGAGAGGAUGACCAGCCACAUUGGGACUGAGACACGGCCCAAACUCCUACGGGAGGCAGCAGUGGGGAAUCUUGCGCAAUGGGCGAAAGCCUGACGCAGCCAUGCCGCGUGUAUGAUGAAGGUCUUAGGAUUGUAAAAUACUUUCACCGGUGAAGAUAAUGACUGUAGCCGAGAAGA